Molecule: ribosomal RNA, 253 nt
Filed under: uncultured bacterium
Lineage: Bacteria
Description: partial 16S ribosomal RNA
Rfam family: Bacterial small subunit ribosomal RNA
Source: RNAcentral
UACGUAGGGGGCAAGCGUUGUCCGGAUUUAUUGGGCGUAAAGAGCGUGUAGGCGGCCAGAUAGGUCGGUUGUGAAAACUGGAGGCUUAACCUCCAGACGUCGACCGAAACCAUCUGGCUAGAGUCCGGAAGAGGAGAGUGGAAUUCCUGGUGUAGCGGUGAAAUGCGCAGAUAUCAGGAAGAACACCCGUGGCGAAAGCGGCUCUCUGGGACGGUACUGACGCUGAGGAGCGAAAGCGUGGGGAGCGAACAGG